AGUGAACGCUAGCGGUAGGCCUAACACAUGCGAGUCGAACGGCAGCACAGUAAGAGCUUGCUCUUACGGGUGGCGAGUGGCGGACGGGUGAGGAAUACAUCGGAAUCUACUUUUUCGUGGGGGAUAACGUAGGGAAACUUACGCUAAUACCGCAUACGACCUACGGGUGAAAGCAGGGGAUCUUCGGACCUUGCGCGAUUGAAUGAGCCGAUGUCGGAUUAGCUAGUUGGCGGGGUAAAGGCCCACCAAGGCGACGAUCCGUAGCUGGUCUGAGAGGAUGAUCAGCCAAACUGGAACUGAGACACGGUCCAGAAUCCUACGGGAGGCAGCAGUGGGGAAUAUUGGACAAUGGGCGCAAGCCUGAUCCAGCCAUACCGCGUGGGUGAAGAAGGCCUUCGGGUUGUAAAGCCCUUUUGUUGGGAAAGAAAAGCAGCAGGUUAAUACCCCGCUGUUCUGACGGUACCCAAAGAAUAAGCACCGGCUAACUUCGUG
This 492-nucleotide ribosomal RNA is filed under the name uncultured bacterium. Its description in RNAcentral is "partial 16S ribosomal RNA". It matches the Rfam family "Bacterial small subunit ribosomal RNA", at positions 29 to 507 of the family's 1533-position model. The record is from RNAcentral.